RNAcentral lists this signal recognition particle RNA (315 nucleotides) under Nitrososphaerota archaeon. RNAcentral's name for it is "Thaumarchaeota archaeon signal recognition particle sRNA". It matches the Rfam family "Archaeal signal recognition particle RNA". Lineage: Archaea; Thermoproteati; Nitrososphaerota. The record is from RNAcentral.
GUAGUAGGUAGGUUCGGGGUGUUAGCCGUACCCCAAAUCUGAAACCGGCUAUAUGCAGAGAACAGUAACCACUGGGAAAAUCUCUAGAUGGUUAGUUCCCGCUUGACUUGCGGAAAUGAAAUCACGCCGAAUCGGGUGGAUGCAGGGCUAUGGUUAUCCGAAGGGAUAAUCCUUAAGACCGAACCGCUGAAAGGGAUGAGGUCCGGGAGGGAGCAAUCCUAAGGUGGAACAUUCACGCUUCCUCGUCAACGUGGCGGAUCUUGUAUGCCUUGAAACGGGGCUACCCGUCUAGACUGGAACCAGCAGAGCUACUAC